Molecule: ribosomal RNA, 468 nt
Filed under: uncultured bacterium
Lineage: Bacteria
Description: partial 16S ribosomal RNA
Rfam family: Bacterial small subunit ribosomal RNA
Source: RNAcentral
GACGAACGCUGGCGGCGUGCUUAACACAUGCAAGUCGAACGGAAAGGCCCUGCUUUUGUGGGGUGCUCGAGGGGCGAAGGGGGGAGUAACACGUGAGUAACCUGCCCUUGAUUUUGGGAGAACUUCAGGAAACUGGGGCUAAUACCGGAUAGGAGCUCCUGCUGCAUGGAGGGGGUUGGAAAGUCGCGGCGGGUGGGGAUGGACUCGCGGCUUAUCAGCUUGUUGGUGGGGUAGGGGCUUACCAAGGCUUUGACGGGUAGCCGGCCUGAGAGGGUGACCGGCCACAUUGGGACUGAGAUACGGCCCAGACUCCUACGGGAGGCAGCAGUGGGGAAUAUUGCACAAUGGGCGGAAGCCUGAUGCAGCAACGCCGCGUGCGGGAUGACGGCCUUCGGGUUGUAAACCGCUUUCGCCUGUGACGAAGCGUGAGUGACGGUAAUGGGUAAAGAAGCACCGGCUAACUACGUG